Long non-coding RNA from Schistocerca serialis cubense, 371 nucleotides. RefSeq lists it as uncharacterized. Lineage: Eukaryota; Metazoa; Arthropoda; Insecta; Orthoptera; Acrididae. The record is from RefSeq and is a predicted model, not a curated record. The transcript is spliced from 3 exons.
AGUGCCGUCAAUUUUUGACUUUCCGACAUAUUUGAUGCCACCAAAUAAACAGCCACGACGACAUGUUAGGAUUUUGAGUGACAACGAUGCUUCUCCAUUUGAGCGUUCUGUCCUGGAAUCCGUGCUUGAUUUGCCCUCUGCAGAAGCUACUGAUUGCGUGGAGAAUGUUGUCAAUGAGAAUUCUUCCGUGGAAAGCACGUCCCAUUUAUCCAAUGCAGAAGCUACGAAUUGUGUCGAAAUCAGUGCAGUUGGUUCUCAAGUAAUUGAUUGUGGUAUACAGUCGAAAGUAGAAAUGGAAGACAAGGCGACCGAAACUUGCAAUUUUUUCUCAGACAUUGUGCACGAAUUAAAAUGUAAACUGAAGUGUGUCC